RNAcentral lists this ribosomal RNA (302 nucleotides) under uncultured bacterium. Its description in RNAcentral is "partial 16S ribosomal RNA". It matches the Rfam family "Bacterial small subunit ribosomal RNA", at positions 508 to 807 of the family's 1533-position model. The record is from RNAcentral.
GCAGUAGCCACGGGAAUACGAGGGGGGCAAGCGUUGUUCGGAAUUAUUGGGCGUAAAGGGCGCGUAGGCGGUUUGACAAGUUUGGUGUGAAAUCUAUGGGCUCAACCCAUAGCCUGCAUCGAAAACUGUCGGGCUUGAGUAUGGGAGAGGUGAGUGGAAUUUCCGGUGUAGCGGUGAAAUGCGUAGAUAUCGGAAGGAACACCUGUGGCGAAAGCGGCUCACUGGACCAUUACUGACGCUGAGGCGCGAAAGCUAGGGGAGCAAACAGGAUUAGAUACCCGCGUAGUCCCUGUCUCUUAUAC